RNAcentral lists this ribosomal RNA (279 nucleotides) under uncultured bacterium. RNAcentral's name for it is "partial 16S ribosomal RNA". It matches the Rfam family "Bacterial small subunit ribosomal RNA", at positions 506 to 784 of the family's 1533-position model. The record is from RNAcentral.
UGCCAGCCGCCGCGGUAACACGGGGGGCGCAAGCGUUAUUCGGAAUUAUUGGGCGUAAAGGGCGCGCAGGCGGUCUUGUCAGUCAGGUGUGAAAGCCCGGGGCUCAACCCCGGAUGGUCACUUGAAACAGCAAGACUUGAAUACGGUAGAGGAGAGAGGAAUUCCUGGUGUAGAGGUGAAAUUCGUAGAUAUCAGGAGGAACACCGAUGGCGAAGGCAUCUCUCUGGGCCGAUAUUGACGCUGAGGUGCGAAAGUGUGGGGAGCAAACAGGAUUAGAUA